CCUACGUGAGGCAGCAGUGAGGAAUAUUGGUCAAUGGGCGCGAGCCUGCACCAGCCAAGUAGCGUGAAGGAUGACUGCCCUACGGGUUGUAAACUUCUUUUAUAAAGGAAUAAAGUGAGGCACGUGUGCCUUUUUGUAUGUACUUUAUGAAUAAGGAUCGGCUAACUCCGUGCCAGCAGCCGCGGUAAUACGGAGGAUCCGAGCGUUAUCCGGAUUUAUUGGGUUUAAGGGGAGCGUAGAUGGGUUGUUAAGUCAGUUGUGAAAGUUUGCGGCUCAACCGUAAAAUUGCAAUUGAUACUGGCAGUCUUGAGUGGAAGAGAAGUAUGCGGAAUGCGUGGUGUAGCGGUGAAAUGCAUAGAUAUCACGCAGAACCCCGAUUGCGAAGGCAGCAUGCCGGCUUCCGACUGACGCUGAAGCACGAAAGCGUGGGGAUCGAACAGGAUUAGAUACCCCAGUAGUC
RNAcentral lists this ribosomal RNA (460 nucleotides) under uncultured bacterium. RNAcentral describes it as "partial 16S ribosomal RNA". It matches the Rfam family "Bacterial small subunit ribosomal RNA", at positions 338 to 795 of the family's 1533-position model. The record is from RNAcentral.